AACGAACGCUGGCGGCAGGCUUAACACAUGCAAGUCGAACGCGAAAUCACCUUCGGGUGGUGGAGAGUGGCAGACGGGUGAGUAACGCGUGGGAACCUACCUAGUGGUACGGAAUAACUCAGGGAAACUUGGGCUAAUACCGUAUGUGCCCGAAAGGGGAAAGAUUCAUCGCCACUAGAUGGGCCCGCGUCGGAUUAGCUUGUUGGUGAGGUAACGGCUCACCAAGGCGACGAUCCGUAGCUGGUCUGAGAGGAUGAUCAGCCACACUGGGACUGAGACACGGCCCAGACUCCUACGGGAGGCAGCAGUGGGGAAUAUUGGACAAUGGGCGCAAGCCUGAUCCAGCCAUGCCGCGUGAGUGAUGCAGGCCCUAGGGUUGUAAAGCUCUUUCGGCGGGGACGAUAAUGACGGUACCCGCAGAAGAAGCCCCGGCUAACUUCGUGCCAGCAGCCGCGGUAA
RNAcentral lists this ribosomal RNA (459 nucleotides) under uncultured bacterium. Its description in RNAcentral is "partial 16S ribosomal RNA". It matches the Rfam family "Bacterial small subunit ribosomal RNA", at positions 29 to 523 of the family's 1533-position model. The record is from RNAcentral.